CACACCAGGAAUUAUAUCAUCCUUUCUCGAUUUUGCAGGUCGAUGUUUUUUAUAAACUAUGGCGGG
RNAcentral lists this transfer RNA (66 nucleotides) under Glaphyrina caudata. RNAcentral's name for it is "tRNA-Cys". The record is from RNAcentral. Lineage: Eukaryota; Metazoa; Mollusca; Gastropoda; Neogastropoda; Fasciolariidae.